CCCAGUAGCUUGUGUUCCUUCUCUCACUCAUUUCGAAUCUGAAAACUGGAAAAGAAAGUUCUUUCAUACUGAUUUUCAGAUCUGUGGCUGAUACUGACCAUGUGAAUCUGCAUAUUUCACAGUUCUGGAGCGGGCAGGCACUCUUAUCUGGAAUUUAAGUGUAUAAUGAAGCAGUUCUACUCCAACCAGGACCAAGGUUCGAACAGUACUGUCCAGCAUGCUCUGAGCUUGAGAGUGUGGGAUCUCAAGUUUCUUUCAGGUCUUACAGUUCCUCUGAAACUGGAAACAAGUUCUCCAGGGAAACCUUGAUCAUCUGUGAUCAUCUGUGCUUAUUAUCCUUCGGGGCUAAGAGAACAUCUCAUUUAUGUCACGAGAGUCAUGACAUACAAAUGUUGCACACCUCAUAACCAAAUAUCUUUCAGUCCUCCUGUGAAGUCAAUUAUAAUCAUGGCUUCAAAUGAGAUGAAAAGAUUUCUAGUGGUAGGGAUGUUUGAAAUGGAGCUACAGUGGGGUGUGAAUUUGAUUCUACUACUUCAGAGGGAUUAAAAUCUAUCUUAGAACUUUCUACAGUUUAUUUUUUCUUGACUUGGGUCUUUCUUGAUGUCUUCUUGAAAGUAUGUUUAUGCAAGACAAAGUACCUGAUCAAUGAUAUGUAUCCAGUAGUUGUUUUUCUGAUGAAUGAAUGAAUGAGAACCUAUAUUGCUUCCUGUUUUUGUCUAUUUCAUACGUUUUGUUUAAUCCUGCAUAUAGUUUCCUACCUGGGGGUCUGAGGAUGUCUAGUGGGUAAAGGUAGUAUUAAUAACAUGUCAUUGAAUGAUCUUCAAAAUUUCGGAAAUGUUCAAGAAAUCUUAAAAUGUUCAACUUAUUUGCUCUUGGCUAGAAUUAUAUCAACAUAAUUUGUUAAUAGUAGCUCUCCUAUGCUGAUCAGAUUCCCUAAUUAGUAACUAUUUAAGCCCUUGAUUUAUUUUAUUUUUUUUUAAUUUUUAAUUCAAUUUAUUUUUUUUGAGAUGGGAGUCUUGCUCUGUCGCCCAGGCUGGAGUGCAGUGGCGUGAUCUCGGCUCACUGCAAACUCCACCUCCCAGGUUCACGCCAUUCUCCUGCCUCAACCUCCUGAGUAGCUGGGACUACAGGCCCGCCAACAAGCCCGGCUAAUUUUUUGUAUUUUUAGUAGAGAUGGGGUUUCACCACGUUAGCCAGGAUGGUCUCGAUCUCCUGACGUUGUGAUCCUCCUGCCUCGGCGUCCCAAAGUGCUGGGAUUACAGGUGUGAGCCAGCGUGCCAGGCCGAUUUAUUUUUUUUUAAAAGAGUAAAAAUUAUUGCUUAACAAAUACAUUUUUGUGACUAACAUUUCCAGAAUAUGGACUUUAUGGGGGUAAACAAAAAAAGAAGGAUUUGGCAUAAAAAAUGUGUUGGGAACUAUAAAAAUUUGAAUAUAAUAAGUGCUAAAACUAGUCUGAUGAGACUUCAGGAACAGCCAAAAUACACCCUAUUGGAGAGGUAAUGACAAGGACAUAUUAGUUUAAACUUCUUUUUGCCUGAUCUUGGCUUUAGACUGAUGAUACAUCCUUCUAAGAAUGAAGUAUUUCAUUUAAAGUGAAAAGAUUGCCUAGGUGCAGUAGCUCACACCUGUAAUCCCAGCACUUUGGAAGGCAGAAACCGGCUGAUAGGUUGAGCCUAGGAGCUCAAAGUUGCUCAGUCCCGGCAACAGAAUGAAACCCUGUCUCAAAAAAAACAAACGAAAAAGGAAAAAAAAAAAUUAAGUCAAUUUUAGAUUGAAGAAAUCUCUUGGAAGCUAAGUUCAGUCUUAGAAGAAAGUGACGAUCACAAGUGUGAUCUGGGCUAAUAAUUAAAUUUUAAAAUAUGUGAUAAGGCAAAAUGUGUGUUGAUAACAGGACAAAGAGAGGACAGUCAUUUCCCAAACUCAUAUGAGUAAUUCUCAGUUUCAUAGUUCUUCCAUUUGUUUUGAAUUGGUACCAUUUACAAAGGCAAAGGAGAGAUGCUGAGCCGGUUCCAGAUAUUACCUCUCCCAAUUGAACAAAAGCUCUCGAUCUUCUCUUUGUAUCGUAGAGUCAUUUCAGGACAGUUUUCCCGAGUGAAAGAAUGUUUGUUUGUUUUCUUCCUAAGUGUCUGGUAUACUUUUCUAUACAAGUAAAACAAAUAAAAAACUUUACAAAAAA
Molecule: long non-coding RNA, 2176 nt
Filed under: Homo sapiens (human)
Lineage: Eukaryota; Metazoa; Chordata; Mammalia; Primates; Hominidae
Description: HSALNT0345341
Source: RNAcentral